Molecule: long non-coding RNA, 1819 nt
Organism: Passer domesticus (house sparrow)
Lineage: Eukaryota; Metazoa; Chordata; Aves; Passeriformes; Passeridae
Exons: 3
Source: RefSeq, a predicted model, not a curated record
GCAGCUCCAAAUUGAUUCUUAAUGUAAAAUGUUACCUUACAGGAACUACCAGUAGUGUUGCUCUGUUGACACCAUGCUACUUCUUGGCAGUCACUUCAGAGAGAUGGAAGAGGGAAGACUCAUUCUGGUAAGAAGGAAGCUGAUGAUGGCAAAGGGUGAAGAGUUAAAGUAGUCCCAGAAGUCAAAGAAAGAAAAUCUCAAACUCUUCAGCUUUGAAGCAAAUUGGAAACACAGCACACACUACCUCAUAAUGCUCAAGAAGAUUGGAUGCACCUAUAUUUUCAUGCAUUUUGGAUGGAAACGACAGCCUCUCAUCCUUCAGACUCUGUGAAAAAGCAGGAGUGGUAUUUUGUAUAGCUGGGAUGGUCUGCCUGAGUGUAUACUAAACUGGGAUCAGCUUGUUACAGACUUCCUGCACGAACUGGGCUUAAACAAGCCUGCCUUUUUCAGAGAUGUGAAUUUCAUUUUAAAAGGGGAGCUGGGAGAUCAGAUCAAUUUCUGAAAUAAGGUCGUGUGACCAUGUGUUGCUUGUCUUAAAGGGUAAAAAGUCUGACCCGCAGGCUUGUUUGAUUAUUAACAAGAGAGCUUGUCAUUGUAUUAGAGUUAAGAUAUUUUGCAGAGAGUAACACAAGCUUCUUUUGAUGCAAGCAGGGACUUACUGUUAUACCCAGGGAAAAAAGAUCCAACAUUUUUUAUUAUAAGUAGAAGUAAUACCUUUUUGAAGCUCUCUCAGUUGAUAAUCACUUGUACAAUGUCUUGGGAUUUAGUUCUGCCCUCUUGGCACCCCUCUGAAAGUAUAGUUUAAGAAAAAGUAAGUAAAAUUUUAUGUACUGUAUAAAGUAUACAUUAUACUUCAAAUAAUCUUAAACUACACCUUAAACUGUGCUUUGGGGAAACAUAAUCAGAAAAGGCAGCACCAGAGAAUGAGAGACUUCUAAGGUAAAUCUGUACUUUUUUCAAGCAUAUUGUACCUAAUGGAGUUAAAUACUUCUAAAAUCUUUAAGUGAAAUCUUUGGAAAGAAAGGUUUUACUUUGUCACUGAUCUACUGCACUUGAAGAUAGUGCAGGAAGGCAUAUAUUUGGGUUAUUUGGGGGAAGGAGAGAAUGGGAGAAAGGUAAGAAAAUCUCCUCAGGCAAAUUUGGAUAGCUGAGUUGUUUUUAAAGCUUGUCUCCCUUGGAGGAUAGCGCGGGUGGCAGAAGCUGGGAUUUGCUACUCUAUAUGGAGUGAAAGAGAGAGUUAGAUACACACAUAUAUAUAUUUAUAUGCGUGUAUACAAAUACACACACAUGUACACACAUUUCUUCUAUACAUAUAAAUACACAUGCAAUGGUCUAAAGAAACAUACUGAAUAAAUUUUUCCCUGUUCUCCUAUCUCAAUUAAACAACAAAGACUGUUUCCUUACAAAAAAAGGAACAAAGCAGUCCUGGCACUGGAAUAUCAGAAAAUGAAAAUGUUGAGAGACUGAAAACAGAAAGAGGAAAUUAGAGCUAUCGUGCACCAGUGAAUCAUUAUAAGUCUCUCAGCUGCUCUUUGGCAAUGGUUGCUGCAGGGAACUCUGCAUGAACAUGUCUCGUUCACCACCAACAGCUUAUGGGGGCUAACACUACAAAGAAAACAAGGGAGAUGGGUGGGUGGAAAAAUCUGCUUACUGACAAUGCUCACCGUAUGAAUGACAAACUUCCACCUAGAAGUGACAGCAGUCCACAAUGUCACAGGGCCAUGGAGUAUGGGUAGUUGCAAACUAUUUUAUACUCAGAUGUCUGCUAUUCACAAUAUAUUGUACUGUAAAAUAUUUUAGACCUUUUAUGUACUAUAGA